Molecule: ribosomal RNA, 202 nt
Filed under: Heterospilus sp. MAS-2010
Lineage: Eukaryota; Metazoa; Arthropoda; Insecta; Hymenoptera; Braconidae
Description: partial 28S ribosomal RNA
Source: RNAcentral
UUGUAUAUGUAUAANGUUAUGAUGUGAGUUACUCUNUGUAGUAUUGCUUGUACAUACUUGUGCAUUUAUUUGCAAGAUGUUGUCGGCGUGCACUUCUCCUCUAGUAGGACGUCGCGACCCGUUGGGUGUUGGUCUACGACCCGAGUGGGAGACUUUAAUGUUUUNAUAAUAUUAAAGACCCUUGGUGUUUUCUGACCGGCUG